This is a long non-coding RNA of Felis catus (domestic cat), 6174 nucleotides long. RefSeq lists it as uncharacterized. The record is from RefSeq and is a predicted model, not a curated record. Lineage: Eukaryota; Metazoa; Chordata; Mammalia; Carnivora; Felidae. The transcript has 3 exons.
CAGUGCCGGGCACAUAGGAGAUGUUCAAUAAACAUUCAUUCGGCAAGUGACUUACAGAUGUCUCUAUAGCUAACAUUGUCGGCAUCUCUUUCCUUCUGGAAAUGCUGUCCUCCUUACAACGUUACUUCUUGUCUCUUCCUCUUUGACAGCAAUUUCUUCGUUUUCUGUUCUCCUGUUUUUCAAGGGGCAGAUUCUUCACCUGUGUUUUUCUCUUUCUUCACGUUAUUCACUGGGGACCACGUGUGCUCUCAGAGCUUUACCUCUCACGUCUAUGCCCCUGUCUUGGCAUCUCAUCUGAGUUCAGGCCCAUAUUUCCAGCUGUUUGGUAGCCAUUUCCGUUUUGAAAUCCCAUUGUCACCUAAAGCCCCCAAAUCCCCUGUCAGACUCCCUUUCCCCUCCCAAUGUCACUACUUUCCCUCUUCCCAGCUAAGCCUGAAACCUUUCAAUUUUUUUGCAUUCCUAUCUUAAAAAUUUUUCCCAAACCACACCAAGUCCUACAAUUUCUUCUUUCAGAAUUCAUUAACUAAGGAAAUAUUUAUUGCCUAGGAUAUGGAAAACACUGUGUAAAUGCUUUGGAGUUGGUGCUAUAAAGAUUUCUUCUUUACCCUCAGAGACUUUGUAACCAAAGCUAGAGGUAAAACAUGUUCAGGAAUAGUUUUAAGGAGGAAAAUAAUGAGUUACAGAUUCAGGUUAUGAGGAUAUAGACGAGAGGAAAAUUACUUCCAUUUGAGUUCAGGAAGACUUCUAGAAAGAGGGACAUUUGAGAUGGGCCGUGAAAAUUAGGUCAUGCUUGGACAUGCUAACCCUGGGGUUGGCCUUUCAGCCAGUGGGAACAGCAUGAACAGAACACCAGACACAAGACAGCCAUAAGUGAGGAGGGAGGAUGAUCGCUGAGCUGGGCUGGAGCUUGAAGUGGGGGUGGGGGGAGCUGGAAGGAAGGUGAAGACAGGCCGGAGACUUAUUUCUGUUGGAAGGCAGGGGAAAAGAUUCAACAAUACGGUGCAGGUAAAUAAUGCAUCGGAGCUGUGUUUCAGGGAAGUUAAUCUAGUUACAGCUUUGAAAAUGGAUUGGAGAUAAGAAAUGCAAGAUAGAGCAUCAUCGUCUAGGCUGGAGGCCACAGCAGCCUGAAUGUGGGUGGUAGGAGUAGAAGCAGAUGUGGGAAUGCAGCCACAGGGGGAUGGCAGAGAUACUGCUGAGGUAGAAUGAACAGAACUUUGCAUCCAGUUGAACAUGGAGAACAAACAAAAGAGGGAAGAGUAGCAAAAACGAUACUGAGAUAUUGACCUCAAGUGUCCAAUCCCCAAAUCAGAAAUAGGGAAGAGUAGAGAACCACAUGUGAGGAGGAAAGUUAUGAGUUUAGUUGCAGUCACAGUGCAUGUGAGGCACCAUUGUGACAUCCAAGUGGAGCUUUCCCAUGGGUAGUUAAACCUGUAAGCCUGAAACUCACGACAACGGUCAGACCUAGAAGUAGCAAUAUGGAGGCCACUACCAAGGAUUCAAGAAGGUGGGAUCUUCAGAAUAAGAACGAGGAAGGAUCACCGAGAGACAUCGAUAAGAGGCAGUGAACCUCCAGGACAUUCAGAGAGCGGAAGCCAUGUGGUGCUCCGGGAUGAACUGGUUGGCAAGAAGCUCAUAAAUCAGUGGGGAAAACUGGAGCAGCGAAGCUCUCGUGCCUGGUCUCAAGCUCUGGAAUUGCAGACUGUGGCACGAAUGUCCAGAUAUUUCUAAUUCCCACCCAGAGUAGAAGCUAAGGAGCCAAACUCUUGGUCUCCGUUACUCUUUUCGGAUGGGGAAUGAGAGUCGGCUCCUCUCCUGGCGUCUGUACUUCACCAACUGUUCCUAAUUAUGAGAGUAUUUGAUGGAACCUAGUUUGAUAAACAAACGAAAAGCCCUUGGUAAUUGUCACAGCGGUGAAAGCAUUUACAUCCAUAGGAAUGGAGAAGAAGUUUUGGAAAGCGCACUGAAACUCCAGCACUCACAACCAGCUCCACCUUGGCCUGACACCCCGCCCUCCAGGAGAUGUUCAUGGGCUUGGCUCCUGGCCAUCAUUGAUCUUACCUGGAAGCUAAUGGCAUAUAAACCCCGGGGCCCCCUCACGUGUCCAGACCCCUUCCCGAGACUCUAAGAGGUGCCCUAGCAGUGUGUGCACUCAGACCGACCUUUAAAAACAUCUACACUCUAACUUCCUCUUGUGUUGGGUGGUGUUGGAAUAGCCUUUUGGGAUUCUGGUAAGGGGAAGGGAGUUAUGAAUGCCUUCGGAUUAAGAGGUUUUAGUCACUUCUGUUUAUAGUGGAAUUAUUGCUAGCCAUUUCUGACUCACAGAGGCUUCCAGGAGUACUCUUACUGCCCUGAUCCCCAUGCAUGGUGAGAGGCAGUAAUAUGUCUCAAGAGCCCAUUCCUGGAAUCAGGCACUGUUGGCCUUCUUUCUUCAUGGAGAGAUGUGCAACAUGCAAUAAUUUAUCCUUUAUUUUGAAAUGGAUGACCUGGCAUUCCUCAGAUCAUUGGACACCUUUUUUCUUUCUUUCUUUUUUUUUUGUUGCUAUAGGUUUCUGAACCUUCAUAGGGUUUAUUUCCUAGCCUCCUGAGUGCAUGUGGCUUAGUUAGGUUUGCAAUGUAGUAGCCCCUUGCCCAUCCAAUCCAAUUAGCAUAAUGUCAUUAGUAUAAUGGGCCAGUGUGAUAUUCUGUGGGAUGUUUAACCAGUCCAGGUUUUUAUCUUGGACUACGUUAUGACAGAAGGGAAGAGAGUUAAUACUGCCCUCAAAUCAAACUAUAAAUAUACAGUGUUAUGUGUUUCUGAUCCUCUUUUUUGAUAGGGAUGGAAAAUAAUACAUUUGCCAGAUCAGUGGCUGCAUUCCAUAUACCCAAGGCUAUGUUCAUCUGCUCUAGCAAAUAUGCCACAUCUGGUAUAGCAGCUGCAUUUGGGCUUGAUUGAAUGGCAGUCAUUUACUGUCAUCCUCCAGGAUCUGUCUGGUUCUUGCAGGGGACAGACUGGUGAAUUAAAUGGAGGUCAGAGGGGGUUUGCGAGCCCUAUAUCCUUUAAGCAUUUUUUUUCCUGCCAUCCCCCCAGAAAGCUACAAUGCUUUUGAUUUACCAUUUUGAACUGGGUUUGGGAGAAGCGUCGUUUCAGAGGUUUCCACUUGGCUUUCCCACAGACCAAUGUGGGUGUAUGUGCACCCAUUUUUUUAUUUGGGGACUGUGGAAAUGGUAAUCAGUGGGUCCUUGGAUUCAGUGGGCCCAGUGUAAGCCAGACCUGGGCCAGACUACCCUCAUUUAUUACCUAGAACCCACAUGUCCUCAAGAAAAGGAGGGCCAUAUCGGUGCUUUGAGUCUCCAGUUACAAAUGUCAAGUCAGAUCUCAUAUUCGGUAGACCUCAAAAUGUUUCACAUCCCCCUUUCCUUAGGGUGCCCAUGGCAAAUGGACUGGAGGAACCCUUACUGGCUACACUUGCCAUGAUGUUAUAGGGUCCUUCCUUCCAGGACCCAGCCUCCCCAUUAUUAGGUUCCAGGUCCAUAAAACUUGUUCACAUCUGGGAACCGGGCAGGGGAUCAUGGCUUUUUAUUGGGAUGAUAACUCUCAGCGUCCCGAUCAUUUGUCCUUGAUAACUCUUGAUUUCAGAUUGAGUAGCAUCCUUGCUGGGUGCCCAUUAAUUUUGUCCUGGGGAUAUUAUUCCUUAAUAGAGAACAACAGGUGCUUCUGCAGUCUCAGAGGUUUCAGAACAAUCUGGAAAUUGAAGACGGUUGAGGGCAUUAGCCCACAUGCCCCACCCCAUGUAUCACUUGGAUUAAAUGAACUCCAAGGCUCAUUUUCAUCCUGAAAUAUCUUUAAAGACUGACCUUUUCAUCCAUGUCUACCUUUCCCUUAAGGGGAAGCAAGGAACAGACUGUGGGAGCAGACCACAAACGUUUGAAUUGUGACUCUGGAACUUCCUAGCUGUGGGAACUUGAGCAAGCUACUUAAUAUCUGAGCCUCAGUUUCUUCAUCUGUAAAAUGGUCAUAACAAAAUACCACCCUUCAGAGGAUGAAAUGAGUUAAUAUGCAUAAAGCACUUAUAAUAAUGCAUGGCAUAUAUUAGGUACUUUUCCAUAAGUAUUUGUUGCCCUGGUUCCUUCACUCAACAAGCGCAUGCUCACUUUCAGAUAUGGGCAUUCGUUUCUGCUGCCACUGUGCCUCUGUGGUGGGUUGCAUUUCACCUUUAUCACAGCACUCAGCACAUUCGUUGUGGUGAUUUGGCCUGUCUGAUUUCCCUGCCUUGCUCCGAGCUCUUCAAGGGUGCAAGUGUGUUUUGUCACCGCUCCACUCCUGACACGGUGCAGCUGUUCAGCAAAUGCUCUUGUGGACAAAUAAGUGGGCUUACGGGACGGGGACACCACCCUGCCUUAGGCUGGGGCCUCAGGUGACUUUGGGGCCCCUCCUUUUCUUAGCCAGCUGCAGCUGGGUUCUCUGUCAGGUGUGAGCAUCUGGAUCCCUCGGUGACUAUUCUCAGGCUGACCCCUCUGGCAACCAAAUCAUCCUCCAGGAACUCAUGCCUCGAUCGUUGCUUCUGUUGUCCAUUUCACCCACUUACCCUGUGUUCCGGCCCCUUGCUUGUUUUGGCUUUGGGGCACUACUCGUUCUCACCUCUUCUCUGGUUUUGGGGUUAUUCGUUAGCUUCUGAAAACCGACACCCCAGAUCUGCCCACCUCUGCUUUGACCUCCACAAUUCUUUAGUUUUUGUUUUGCUCUCCAGGUGGUGCAAGCAAGUCCCUUGUCUCUGUUCUGGCUUCUUGUACUAAGACCCUUGCCUGGCUUCUGGCAUCUUCUAGCUGGAAACAUCCUUGACAUUUCCCAUCUCCAGCCCGGGUGUUUGGUUGGUCUUCCCUGAUCAUCCCUUCUAGAGGAGGGAUAGCACAGUCACUCACAACCACUACCCAUUCUGUGUCCAGGGAAGACAGAGCUAAUCAAUCACAGCACUCUUUUAGUGUCCCUAUGAGGUUGCAAAGCAUGUGCAAAUGGAUACUCCCCGUCCCAUCCUGUUUGCCAUCCCUCGAUUACAUGAUGGCCCUUGCCCAUGUAAAUUCAUUUUACUAUUUCUCCUCUGCUUCUCUGCCCUUGGCCUUUUUCCUGUCCAUUUGACAGAUGAAACCUGCCUACCAUUCUUCUUAGCUUCUGGCCCCCUACCAGACAUCUCUGGGGGCUGUUGGGCUUCAGCUACCAGGUUGCUACAGAAUCUGGCACAGUUAUGCCCAUCAUGGGCCAAACAAUCCCUCUAUCGCCAGGAAGCAGCCUCUCUGCCUCAGGUUUGAAGGAAGCCCAAAGAAGUCACAGAUCUCUUCUGAAAUAACAAAGAACCACAGACUGGGAGCCUGAAGGCAAAAGAAAUUUAUUCCCUCAUAGUUCUGGACGCUAGAAGUGUAAGAUCAAGGAGUAGACAGGUUUGGUUUUUCCCGACACUUCCCUCUUUGCCAUGUGGAUGGCCAUCUUUUCCUUUCUGUGCCUGGUUGGUUAUAGGAUUAUCUGUGGGACAGAGCCAGGUCAGAUUGAUUCAAAGUGUUUUCCCGGGCAUCACUCAAAAUUGGCCUCCCAACUAGGUUCUAUGGAGAGCCCAACUCUUCUGUGCAUUCACGUGUCCUCCACAAAACAAAUCCUUACUCCAUCCUUCUAUCCCUUAAGACCAGAGUGGUGAUGUGGGUCAAUGCCAUUUUUUAGCCCUGUGCUGGGGGUGGAAGUUGUGGUGUGAAAGGUAAAAGGUUGAAGUCGUCUUCCUUCCACGUGGUAGUUUGUUCAGUCUCCCCUCUUCUCGUUUGGCUCCUUGUCACCUGGUCCCAUCUCCUGCCCUAGAAAGGCCAAGAAGAAUCAGGCUGGAAGCCUGGGGCAGGAUGCUAUACCCCAGGGCCCAGGCUUUUGGGAGAAAUGCACUUUAUUCCUUUGUGCUCUUUCCUGAGGUUUGUCUUCUCUCAGCCCUUUGCUCCAUUGCAGGGCCAAGAUCAGUGUGUCACUGAAAGAAGGGGCUCGGGAGGCUGGCCACUGUGCCUCUGUAUUGGCUGCUUACACUGCCUAAUCUCAAGAAUCUCAAGGGGUUGUCUCAGCUGUGGGGUUCCAAGGAAAGCUAUAUACCUGACUGAAGAGGUUACAGACUGCCUGCGGGCACUAUAGGUUGUAUAUUUUGAAGAAAUAAAAAUUGUCUAUGCUUAAAA